GGUUGGAUCAUUACUGAUUACUCGACCUGGGGUGAGCUCUAUUCGAGAUCCCUCAGUGUCAUAAACACUUUGUGCACCUUUGUGUAUUUGGGUUGUUUUCGAAUGAGAGUUCGCAAGGACUUGAGUGAAAAGGCAACCCAACAGUGAAAACAAACCUUUAUUUUUUGACUGAAAUUCUAUAUAAAUAGAAACAACUUUUGACAACGGAUCUCUUGGCUCUCGCAACGAUGAAGAACGCAGCGAAAUGCGAUACGUAAUGUGAAUUGCUUUCCGUGAAUCAUCGAAUCUUUGAACGCACAUUGCACUCUACUCUGUAGAGUAUGCCUGUUUGAGAAUCUAUAGUAUUUCUUUUAGACUAUUUUUUGAAUAGCUCUAAAGAUAUGAGGUAAUCUCUAGUUUUCUAGAGUUCCUUUAAAUAGAUUAUCUGCGGUAGAGUUGAUGCUUGACGUCUCUCAAACAACAGAACAGUAUUUGAAUGGUUAAUUCAACCUCAAUGCCUAAUAAGUUGUCUGGAGAAAUAGUUGACAAAAUCGUAGGUCCAAAAACCAAAGAGUUUCGGCUCUGAACCUUGGUCUCAAAUCAGGUAGGAAGACCCGCUGAACUUAAGCAUAUCAAUAAGCGGAGGAAAAGAAACUAACAAGGAUUCCCCUAGUAACGGCGAGUGAAGCGGGAACAGCUCAAAUUUGAAAUCUCCUUCGGGCGAAUUGUAGUUUAGAGAAACGUUUUCUGGCCAGGCACUGGGUACAAGUUCUCUGGAACGUGACAUCAUAGAGGGUGAAAAUCCCGUCUUUGACCCAGUGUUCUGUUCAAUGUGAUACGUUUUCAAAGAGUCGGUUUGUUUGGGAAUGCAGACCAAAAUGGGUGGUAAAUACCAUCUAAAGCUAAAUAUUGGCGAGAGACCGAUAGCGAACAAGUACCGUGAGGGAAAGAUGAAAAGAACUUUGAAAAGAGAGUUAAACAGUACGUGAAAUUGUCAAAAGGGAAACGUUUGAAACCAGUAUUGUGAGCAGGAAUUCAGCUGUGGUUUACUGCAGUGUAUUUUUCUGUUUGCGAGUCAACAUCAGUUUGACUUGGAGCAAAAUGCUAUUGGAAGGUAGCCUUCGGGUAUUAUAGCCAAUAGUGAUACUCUAAGUUGGACUGAGGACUGCAGCUUCGGCUUAGGAUGUUGACGAAAUGGUUUUAAGCGACCCGUCUUGAAACACGGACCAAGGAGUCUAACAUAUAUGCGAGUAUUUGGGUGGCAAACCCUUAUGCGUAAUGAAAGUGAAAAGGUGGGAUCCCUUUGGGUGCACCAUCGACCGCGCCAGAUUAUUACUAUCUCGGCGUGAGUAUGAGCAUACAUGCUGGGACCCGAAAGAUGGUGAACUAUGCCUGAAUAGGGUGAAGCCAGAGGAAACUCUGGUGGAGGCUCGUAGGGGUUCUGACGUGCAAAUCGAUCUUCAAAUUUGGGUAUAGGGGCGAAAGACUAAUCGAACCAUCUAGUAGCUGGUUCCCUC
This 1496-nucleotide unclassified non-coding RNA is filed under the name uncultured fungus. Its description in RNAcentral is "sequence contains 18S rRNA gene, ITS1, 5.8S rRNA gene, ITS2, 28S rRNA gene". The stretch from base 570 to 1496 matches the Rfam family "Eukaryotic large subunit ribosomal RNA", at positions 1 to 961 of the family's 3401-position model. Lineage: Eukaryota; Fungi. The record is from RNAcentral.